RNAcentral lists this ribosomal RNA (495 nucleotides) under uncultured bacterium. RNAcentral describes it as "partial 16S ribosomal RNA". It matches the Rfam family "Bacterial small subunit ribosomal RNA", at positions 28 to 505 of the family's 1533-position model. The record is from RNAcentral.
GAUGAACGCUGGCGGCGUGCCUAAUACAUGCAAGUCGAGCGAACAGACGAGGAGCUUGCUCCUCUGACGUUAGCGGCGGACGGGUGAGUAACACGUGGAUAACCUACCUAUAAGACUGGGAUAACUUCGGGAAACCGGAGCUAAUACCGGAUAAUAUAUUGAACCGCGUGGUUCAAUAGUGAAAGACGGUUUUGCUGUCACUUAUAGAUGGAUCCGCGCCGCAUUAGCUAGUUGGUAAGGUAACGGCUUACCAAGGCAACGAUGCGUAGCCGACCUGAGAGGGUGAUCGGACACACUGGAACAGAGACGCGGUCCAGACUCCUACGGGAGGCAGCAGUAGAGAAUCGUCCGCAAUGGGCGAAAGCCUGACGGAGCAACGCCGCGUGAAUGAUGAAGGUCUUCGGAUCGUAAAACUCUGUUAUGAGGGAAGAACAAAUGUGUAAGUAACUAUGCACGUCUUGACGGUACCUAAUCAGAAAGCCACGGCUAACUACG